Long non-coding RNA from Actinia tenebrosa (Australian red waratah sea anemone), 1468 nucleotides. RefSeq lists it as uncharacterized. Lineage: Eukaryota; Metazoa; Cnidaria; Anthozoa; Actiniaria; Actiniidae. The record is from RefSeq and is a predicted model, not a curated record.
UGAUCCGCAUCAAAAUUAUGCGGGCAACCUACAGAACAGGCUAUUAAAAUGAGUCCUUAUCAUCCAUGGUUAAGAGAAAAGGGAAUGGUCAUGGUGGAUGCACAAACACACACAUCUUUAUUGUAAACACGUUUGAAGUCACGCGUAUCAAGAUAAUUAUAGGCCUCGAUUUGAUCUCUAUAAUCAACAAUUAUGAUCAGCCAAACCACGACAACAACGAACUACAUGACAUCAAGGCUGUUCAGAUUCACAAGUAGAGCACUAGGGUCCAUCAGUGAGUCCAGACCAUGUCUUGGUCGGUGUUACUGUUUACCGAACGGACGCAUCAAAGGAUGUGUCCUGCUACAGAUGUCAUUAAUGGUUCGGCGCGCUCGAGUCAAUCGGUCCCGACGGCUGAAUAGAAGCGAUUCGACAUUCAGUUAAGCAAAUACGACAGUUAACAGCGAAAAGAGAUAAGGAGAACAUCAAGUGAAUACAAGCGGCAAGUGAAUACAAGCGGCAAGUAAUGUGAGGGCUUUCAAAACGCGGCCGGCUCAACUAACAAUCAGCGUUGGUUUGUGGAGUCGGCACGACUCUGUUCCAUUGAAGACCAGGCCUUUACAGUUCCACGGAAUGUCCGCAAAACUUGGAAGGCUUGUAAACAAUUGAUUUAAGGCCUCAUUUAUCGAGCCAUCAAUGCAGACUCGAAUUCCUCUCACAAGUACGGGUUAUUGGUUGGGGUUUUUAAUUUCUUAGCCGUAAUUUCAAUGGCAUAACGGAACAUUUGCUUCCGAUGAAAGACUACGAGUUCCGUAGCGUUUAGAAAGUUUAAUUAUAGAGCUUGACGGUUGAUCCAUUGCUCCACACACGAUAUAUUUAUAGCAAUAAACUCGGGAUUCCUUCGAUUUACUGGUUGGUCAGGUUUGACAUUAGUGGAAUCGGUCGAGAUGUUGGUGACAUCAAAGGCACACCGCUAAAGGUUGUGUAGCACCGUUAUUACAUUACUUUACUGCCACCCACAGUGUUCAGGCCGGUCAGCAUUCACUAUCACACACCCUACUCACUGUCACCUAUCACGAGAACACAGAUUUUUCGCUCCAGAACUCGUUGGAAGUAAUCUUUCUGUCAGCCGAUAAUCAAUUGGUAGCGGUGAAUUUCUUUCAGUUUGUGCCUCCCUUGCCCCCAAGCUGACGAUCACAAAGGUAGCGGCAACUAGUUAAUAAAGCAAUUGGGCAACGAUAAGACUUUAUUGCCUAUUUGGCUUCUGAAGUGCCGCGCUAUAAGCUCAUCUUUGCAUGGCUAUUUUCUUCUAAUUGUAAUAACUUUUGUGUUAGGAAUUACUUAGACGAAAAGGUACUUGUGAGCUAAGGUGGCGCGAAAGUCUCAUUUGCCCAACUGUAAGGAGUCAAGUAUUAGGUCAACACACUAUUUAGCCUUUCCUUCGGAUGGUAGAUUGUGUUGUGAUUAAAUAAAUUGUAUUUUUACGAUA